This 809-nucleotide long non-coding RNA is filed under the name Nicotiana benthamiana. Its description in RNAcentral is "long non-coding RNA (NBEN_LNC023157)". Lineage: Eukaryota; Viridiplantae; Streptophyta; Magnoliopsida; Solanales; Solanaceae. The record is from RNAcentral.
GGCACAAUUCAUUACUUUUAUGGAAAGCCCUACCAAACCCCACCUAGCCCCAGAAAAGGAGUACGAUAAAUUCUAGACGCCCCUAUCCUAAAACCCUGAUACUAGACCUCCAGACUUACCUAUAAAGGGCCAUGUCCUCGGAAAUCCGCAUUCUAACGAUGUCCUGCCUAAUCACCUUUCCCCAAUACCUCUUUGGCCUCCCUCUGCCUCGACUCACACUGACCACCGCCAGCCGCUCACAACUCCUCACGGGGGCAUCAGGGCUUCUCCUCCGCACAUGCCCGAACCAACUGAGCCUAGCUUCUUGCAUUUUUUCAUCCACUGGGACCACCCCCACCUUCACCCGAAUAACUUCAUUCUUAAUCUUAUCUGACUUGGUGAACCCGCAUAUCAACAUGAGCAUCCUCAUCUCCGCCAUAUUCAUUCUCUGAACAUGCGAGAUCUUCACCGGCAAGCACUCCUCCCCAUACAACAUGGCAGGUCUAACCACAACUCAAUAAAACUUUCCCUUGAGAUUCUAUGGAACUUUCUUGUCACACAAGACUCCUGAUGCAAGCCUCCACUUCGACCAUCACUCCAAUAUGCAGUGAGUGACUUCCCCAUCGAUCUCCCCGUCCCCCUGGAUCACCGACCCAAUAUAUCUCAAACUGUCCCUUUUAGCGAUAACUUGAGAUCCAAGUUUCACAUCCAUGUCUACUUCGCUCGGCUCGGCGCUAAACUUGCACUCCAGGUAUUCUGCCUUAGACCUGCUUAGUUUGAAACCCUUAGACUCUAGAGUCUGUCUCCAUACCUCAAACCUCUCGUUAACA